RNAcentral lists this ribosomal RNA (1275 nucleotides) under Microchloropsis gaditana. RNAcentral describes it as "Nannochloropsis gaditana partial large subunit ribosomal RNA". It matches the Rfam family "Eukaryotic large subunit ribosomal RNA", at positions 194 to 1416 of the family's 3401-position model. Lineage: Eukaryota; Eustigmatophyceae; Eustigmatales; Monodopsidaceae. The record is from RNAcentral.
AAAAGGGCGCCCCAGAGGGUGACAGUCCCGUACAUGCUUGCGUGGGUCCGUCUACGGCGUAUUUUCGACGAGUCGAGUUGCUUGGGAUUGCAGCUCAAAGUGGGUGGUAAAUUCCAUCUAAGGCUAAAUAUCGGUGGGAGACCGAUAGCGAACAAGUACCGUGAGGGAAAGAUGCAAAGAACUUUGAAAAGAGAGUUAAAGAGUGCCUGAAAUUGCUGAAAGGGAAGGAAAGGAAACCCAGUGUAAUGCUGUGGCAUUUCCCCGCUGGACGUUGGACUGCGGUUGUGCCAUGGCGUUGGUCAAGAUGGGUUCGACUCGCAGGAUUAGGGUGAGAGGGAGGUGGUUCGCACUUCGGUGUGAAUGUUAUAUCCUUGCACCUUUGCUGUGGGUUGGACCGAGGUCAACCUUGCGCCUCUGGCUGAGCUCUGCUCAUGCAAGGUACGGAUCUUGACGAAAUGGUUUUCUUUCACCCGUCUUGAAACACGGACCAAGGAGUCUAACAUAUAUGCGAGUACAGGGGUGGCAAACCCCCGUGCGCAAUGAAAGUAAAGGGCUGCUUCUGCGGUCUGAGGUGGGAUCUGUCAAAGGUGCACCAUCGACCGACCAUGAUUCUUCGGAUGAAAGGUUUGAGUGUGAGCAUUUAUGUUGGGACCCGAAAGAUGGUGAACUAUGCCUGAGUAGGGCGAAGCCAGGGGAAACUCUGGUGGAGGCUCGUAGCGAUUGUGACGUGCAAAUCCAUCGUGGAAAUUUGGGGUAUAGGGGGCGAAAAGACUAAUCGAAACCAUCUAGUAGCUGGUUUCCCUCCGAAAAUUUCCCUCAGGAUAGCUGCAAACCUAUGCCAGUUUUUAUCAGGUAAAAGCGAAAUGAUUAGAAGGCCUCGGGGGGCGAAAUGCCCCUCGACCUAUUUCUCAAACUUUUAAAUGGGGUAAGAAGCCUGGGGGUUGCUUAAUUGAACCCCUACGGUCGAAUGAAAGGUUGCUAGUGGGGCCAACUGGGGGUAAAGCUCGGUUGGCGAUGCGGGAUGAUCCGAACGCUGAGUUAAAGUGCCAAACUACCCGCUCACCUAGAUCCCACAAAAGGUGUUGGUUCAUUUAGACAGCAGGACGGUGGCCAUGGAAGUCGGAAACCGCUAAGGAGUGUGUAACAACUCACCUGCCGAAUGAACUAGCCCUGAAAAUGGAUGGCGCUGAAGCGAGUGACUUAUACUCAGCCAUCAUGGCAAGUGCGAGGCCGUGAUGAGUAGGAGGGCGUGGAGUUCGUAGCGCAUCCUGUGGC